UCCUUCAAACAUAUUCACAGAAAAAUGGAUGAAAGGCCCUUGAGACAUAUCUAGAAAGACCACAAAGUCUCUAGAAAGAACAUUUCUGUAAGAAUUCUACAGACAAAACAGAAGGGCAAGUGGUGGGAGGAUGUGAAAAGCAAAACAAAAACAGAAAAUCACCCUUGAAAUGGGAAAAAGAUCAAAGGAAAUGGAAUUCUAAGUAAAUACUAUGAAAUAGAAUAAUAAGGCUGAAAAUUCAACAUGUGUUGAAUACCUACCAAGUGUUGGACACUGUGUUACGUCCAGGAAGUAAAGUAGUGAAUGCAACAAAAGAGUCGACCUUCAUGAGCUGAAUGUCUAGUGAGAAGCAGGCCUUGCACAAAUAUCUACCCUCGUGGUGACAGAUGGGCAGGAGGAAUGUGGUAGUGAUGGGAGUUCGAAGGAAAAUCCUUGGUCUACCUGGAACAUCUGGAAAGUCUUACCUGAGAAAAGGAGGCUUAAGCUCAGAACUGAAAGGUCCUACCUUGACCUCGGCUGUGAUGUGGGAACAAUCAUGUCUGUCUGCCAUUUUACCUCAGUUCCAGCACCUGGCCAGGUGUGAGGUGCUGUGCGGCUGCUGGGAAGGGGAAAUCAGAGAUGCACACAGCCUUUUCUGCAGCCCAAAGGACAAGUAACUAGAUUGAGAAUAAAAGGACGAAAGAUCUUGGCAGUGCACUUUCGUUUAUUAGGCCCCCACCUGCCUGAGUGUGCUCUGAUCUCUGAAUGAAAAUAUUUUCAUCUCUGGAUCCUUUAGUGCAACCUGAAGACAAGAAUUUCAGACGCUCAGAAUUUGUCGUCUAAUUAUGUGUUGCCUGAGUGAGACCUACAUGGAGGUAUGCUUAAGGUCCCCAGCAUGGAAGUACAUCAGUGAAUGGCUUACCAGUACCCUGGAAGUCAGGGCAGUUUUACCAAAGAAAGAAAGAAUUUUAUUCUGUUCCAAGAAACAACCUGCAGCUCCUCCCCUGCUUUUACCAUGGGGAAUGAAGAUGUAGAUUAUUUGAGAAGAAACCACAACAGCAAUAAGAUCAUCAGAAAGGAUUAUCAGAGCUGACUUGAGAAUCACAGAAAUCAAGUUUGCACCUAUUGGACAUGCUUGGGAGCUUUCCCACAUAUACAUAGAGGUCUCUUCCUUUCCCCAGUUCUUCAGCAGCAGAGAAUGGUGAACUCCUUAACUGUCAGAGCAUCAGUACCUUUAGAUGAGCUGAGCAUAAGAUGCCAGAGGUGCUUCUGGACUCCUCCCCUUUUAUCAGCUCCCCAGAAAGCUGGGGGCAAGCAGGAGGCAGCAGUGCUCAACUGGAAACUGGUCUUCAUUUAGAAUAAAAGAAGGGGGCACCUGUACUGUAGUAAGUCAGUAGGGGGGGAAGUCGAAGAAUUAGGCAGCUGAUUUGAAGAGUAUAAUCAAGUACCACAGUAAAAGUCAACACAGCAGGCUAUGCAGUACAUGAGAUCAAGCAGCAAGUGAGAUUCUCUGGAAAUGAUGGGCAAUAAGCAAUGCCACUGUGAAAUCGUGGUCAGCCAGCACUGAAAAGUAGAUUUCCUUGCAUUACUGUAGGUGAUCUGCUGCUUACCAGCUUGCAAAUUAUUUUUCUCUCUUUCUGAAGAUUGUGACUCUGGGUGUUCUCCUUGUCCUUUUACUGCCCCCCUUGAUUUCCAUACAGUGUGCUCUCAAGAUGUAACCAAGUAAACUCUGAACAGCAGUCUCAGCAGGAAAAUGUUUUCUCUCCCAGAGGACAUAUGGCUUCAAGACAAAGAUGGGCUCAAUUUGCAUUUCUGUUGACAACCAAUUUUAAGUGCCCAUGAAAAACCCCUUGGUGUUGCCAUUCUGGCAGAAGGCUGGGCAUUGUCUGCCUAAGUACUUCCUUACUCUGUGAGUUGCAGUUACCAGAUGCAACAGAGAAACCACUGGGUCAGUCUGUUUCAUUCUUUGCUCUCCUUUUUUCUAGAAGUGACUAGGUAUUGUGUAAGAUGGAUGUCAACAAACUUCCUCAUUGAGAUAUUUGCUGAACACUCCAUACAGUGGACACUUGUCCUUACUCACUUGUUUUGGGCUGUUUAUCCUCAGUGGUUCCAAAAAGCAUGUGUGUGUCAGUAUUGGGCAGGUGCCUUACAGAUGGGACAGGACGGAAGACAUUCAUGCUCACCAGAAUUAUUCUUUGGAAAGAAGAGCUGUUCGGAAAGACGUUUUGAUAUGAUGGCAGCUAGCUUAGCCAGCUUCAGUGUGCGUAGACCUUAUUCUUAGUUACUACUAAUGCAAAGGGCCUUUGCACAAGCUAUUUUUUCAUAUUGUGUGGAUCUGACUUUGGAGCCAGCUUGUAAAGUGUAAACCCCAUCAUUCACUGAUUCUAUGAUCUGGGGCGAAUUAUUUGACCAGUCACACCUUGAUUUUCUCUCUCUUAUAAUUAGGCUUAACAAAAGUAGUUCUAUUACUUGGUUGUGAAAAUGAAAGUGGUAUACAUAUAAAACCAACAGAACAGUGUGUAGCACAUAGUAACACAUGUAAAUGUUCUAUUUAAUGUCUGUCUUAAACAUUCUAAUCCUCAUUCUUCCUUCAAAUUUCACUCUAAAUUCCAUUUCCUCAGGGACACUUUCCCAUCACAUAGGAAGGUUUGCAAACAUGCUGCUUUUGCAGUCGUAUGUUCUAGCAUUGUAUACCCAGUUCAUGACACAGGGUCUAGCACACAGCAGGUUCUUGACAAUUUUUUGCCAAAUGCAUGAGUGAAUGAUUCACACACAGAAAUGUUAAAAAGCAACUAAAUUGAUAAAUUUUAUUGAAUUCAAAAAAUAUACUGAUCACUAAUUCUGUAUCAGACCCUGAGCUAGAAAUUGGUCAGGAAAAGAUGGUUCCUGCCCUCAGGAAGUCUCUGUAAGAGGUUGUCAGCUAUAUAUCAUAUAAAUCAUAGCACACUAGAAUGAAGUCUAUUUAAGCCAAGUGCCCACCCAGUACUCUGUCAUGCUAACAACAAGCAAGUUUAAGUGGCUGGGGUAAUUUUUGCUUCACGGAUAUUAUGGAAAUUGGAAAUGAUACAGAUUAGAGAUGGAUGUUCCCCCAAAGCUCAUACAUGAGACAGUGCAAGAAUUUUCAGAGGUGAUAUGAUUAGAUCAUAAGAGAUUGCAACUUACUCAGUGCAUUAAAUCACCAAUAUGGAUGGGAACUGUAGGCAGGUAGGGCGGGGUUGGAGGAAAUAGGUCACAUGCAGUGAGACUUUGGGGUUUUUAUUUUGUCCCUGGUGAGCAGAGCUCUCUUCUUUUGAGUUGGCCAUAGCCUGAGCUGCUUUCCUUAGCCACAGCCUUCUGCCAUGAUGGUCUGCUUCACCUUGGGCCCAGAGUAACAGAGUAGGAUGACUGAACCACAAAACCAUGGAUGAAAAUAAACUUUUCCUUCUCUACCUUGUUCUUCUCAGGUCUUUUGAUCACAGAGAUGCAGAGCUGACUAAAAGAGAAAGCUUAAUGAGUUAGUAAUUAAGGUAUACAUGAUGCCAUUGGGCCUAUAAACAAAUAAAUAAAUAAAAUGAAAUAAUCAGAAUUCUCAUUCUGAAAAAAUAAUUAUUUCAUUUAUAUUUCUUUGGGUCUUUAUCAUUACACAUCAUUUUUUUAAUGAUCUUCUGUAUCACUGCAUAAUUUUUGUUCCUAUUUUAGUAGAUGAGAGGAAAUGUACAACCCUUAUAAUAACCCAGUGAGGACUGAAUCUCAGACUUUUCAUUCCAGUCACCUGGUCUUCUGUGAUGCAGCAAAAUGAAUGGAAGAUGCCUCCCCAGCCCUGAGUACCACUCUGCCUCCCAAUGUUAAGUGCUCAAAUUUGGCAUCUGGGGUUGCUCAGGAUCUGUUAUGGUUUAGAUAUAAAGUGUCCUCUAAAAGCUCAUGCAUGAGACAAUGCAAGAAUUUUCAGAUAGUGAAGUUAUUAGAGUAUGUGGUAUAACUUUAUCAGUGGAUCCACUGAUAUGGAUUAACUGGGUAGCAACUGUAGGCACACAGGGUAUGGCUCAAGGAGAUAGGUCACUGGGGGUAGGCCUUUGGAGUUUAUAUUUUGUCCCCGGUGAGUGGAGUUCUCUCUGCUCCCUGUUGCUAUAUCCUGAGCUGUUUUCCUCUGCCAUGUUCUUCCACCAUGAUGUUCUCUGCCCCACUUUGGGCCCAGUUCUAUGAAGUCAGUCAUUUGUGGACUGAGACCUCUGAAACUGUGAGCCAAAAUAAACUUUUCCUCUUGUAA
Molecule: non-coding RNA, 4225 nt
Organism: Ictidomys tridecemlineatus (thirteen-lined ground squirrel)
Lineage: Eukaryota; Metazoa; Chordata; Mammalia; Rodentia; Sciuridae
Source: RefSeq, a predicted model, not a curated record